UUUCUUUUUUUUUUUUUGUUUAUAAUAUUUUGUUUAUUAUUAAAUUCAUUGUUCAAUUAUUUUAGGCACAGUUUUAGAGUUUUUAAUCAGCACUUUUUAUUGUUUUUUUUUGUUUUCCAUUUUACCUUGCCUUUAAACUUGACAGAAAAAUUCAUACCUAACAUUUCACAUAUUAACUAAGAAUUCUUUCAGUGCUUGCAAUAGUUAUUUAUGACUAAAGUAAGCGACAACAAAGACAUUUGUUUUUAAAAGUAUAUUCAUUUCAGACUUUUUCAUUUUGGAAACAUGUUUCUUAGGAUAGAAAUGUUCUAUACAAAGAAAUAAUUUGCACAGCAGGUUUUCUCUUUUUGUUUUCAUUGUUUUAUUUAUUUUAUUUUUGUUGUAAAAUCUCAUUGCUUAGUUGUUGGGUUUAUUUUAUUUUACCAUAGUUUGUAUGUUUAAAUGAGCUACUUAUGAAUUAAUUCCCUUUAAAAGGCUACUAUGUAUGCUUCUUCAAAAUCCAUCUCUUUUUUUAGAUUGUGAUGAUGGCCCACAAAAUGUUUUGUGCAAAGCAUAUUAUUAGCUAUGUGAAACUAGUCUGAAUAAGAAUUCAAAGUCUAGUUUUAAGUUUUAACAAAUAAUCCAAUGCACAAUUUUUUUUUAAACUAUAAAUGUUAAUAAAUUAAAGGUAUCUUAGGAUUACUAUGCAGAUACCCUAUAAAAACCUUAGCCAAAAAACUUUCUACCUGAUAGUUUUAAAAAAAAUAAAUGCUGCUACAAUAUCUUUUUCAAUGAUUCUGAAAUAUAAUUUCAUUUUUUUUUUAUUUCAAAUUUCCAAUUAGAUCUAACAUGGGAGCAUUGUGGCUGAGGGUUAAAGUGCUUGGCUUCUGAACCGUCUCUGUGAGACUGGGAUUUUUAAUUUCUUGACUUUUAGGACACCCCUGGGUCCACCCAUCUCCAGUGACUUUAGUUGGGAGAAAGUAAAAGCAAUUGGUCAUUUGCUGGCCACUACAUCCACAUUAACUAUCAGCCAUAGAAACAUGACCUUUAAUCAUCCUCUCUAUUGAUCAGAAGGCCUGAAAGGUGGACCUACAUUAUUAUAAGAUCAAAAGGUCUGAAAGGGAUGCUUUACUUACAGCGUCGCACACACACA
Biomphalaria pfeifferi is the source of this 1132-nucleotide non-coding RNA. NCBI's taxonomy places the organism in Eukaryota, Metazoa, Mollusca, Gastropoda, Planorbidae. The record is from the annotation of a GenBank genome assembly.